AGAGAUGGAUUGGUGCCUUCGGGAACUCUGAGACAGGUGCUGCAUGGCUGUCGUCAGCUCGUGUUGUGAAAUGUUGGGUUAAGUCCCGCAACGAGCGCAACCCUUAUCCUUUGUUGCCAGCGGUUAGGCCGGGAACUCAAAGGAGACUGCCAGUGAUAAACUGGAGGAAGGUGGGAUGACGUCAAGUCAUCAUGGCCCUUACGAGUAGGGCUACACACGUGCUACAAUGGCGCAUACAAAGAGAAGCGACCUCGCGAGAGCAAGCGGACCUCAUAAAGUGCGUCGUAGUCCGGAUUGGAGUCUGCAACUCGACUCCAUGAAGUCGGAAUCGCUAGUAAUCGUGGAUCAGAAUGCCACGGUGAAUACGUUCCCGGGCCUUGUACACACCGCCCGUCACACCAUGGGAGUGGGUUGCAAAAGAAGUAGGUAGCUUAACCUUCGGGAGGGCGCUUACCACUUUGUGAUUCAUGACUGGGGUGAAGUCGUAACAAGGUAAGCGUAGUGCU
Molecule: ribosomal RNA, 506 nt
Filed under: uncultured bacterium
Lineage: Bacteria
Description: bacterial SSU rRNA
Rfam family: Bacterial small subunit ribosomal RNA
Source: RNAcentral